UAAGGAAUAUUGGACAAUGGGCGAAAGCCUGAUCCAGCCAUCCCGCGUGGAGGAUGACUGCCCUACGGGUUGUAAACUCCUUUUAUAUGAGAAGAAACGCCUGGAUUUAUCCGGGCCUGACGGUAUCUUAUGAAUAAGCACCGGCUAACUCCGUGCCAGCAGCCGCGGUAAUACGGAGGGUGCAAGCGUUAUCCGGAAUCACUGGGUUUAAAGGGUGCGUAGGCGGUUAGUUAAGUCAGAGGUGAAAGCCCGGCGCUCAACGUCGGAAUUGCCUUUGAUACUGGCUAACUUGAAUCAGGUUGAGGUGGGCGGAAUGUGGCAUGUAGCGGUGAAAUGCAUAGAUAUGCCAUAGAACACCAAUUGCGAAGGCAGCUCACUGGCCCUGCAUUGACGCUGAGGCACGAAAGCGUGGGGAGCGAACAGG
RNAcentral lists this ribosomal RNA (424 nucleotides) under uncultured bacterium. RNAcentral describes it as "bacterial SSU rRNA". It matches the Rfam family "Bacterial small subunit ribosomal RNA", at positions 355 to 776 of the family's 1533-position model. The record is from RNAcentral.